Molecule: transfer RNA, 75 nt
Filed under: Endomicrobium sp.
Lineage: Bacteria; Pseudomonadati; Elusimicrobiota; Endomicrobiia; Endomicrobiales; Endomicrobiaceae
Description: tRNA-Arg
Rfam family: tRNA
About the family: Transfer RNA (tRNA) molecules are approximately 80 nucleotides in length. Their secondary structure includes four short double-helical elements and three loops (D, anti-codon, and T loops).
Source: RNAcentral
GCGCUCGUAGCUUAAAUUGGAUAAAGCCUUUGGUUUCCGAAGCCUUGGAUUACGGUUCAAAUCCGUACGAGCGCU